GACGAACGCUGGCGGCGUGCUUAACACAUGCAAGUCGAACGGAAAGGCCCUGCUUUUGUGGGGUGCUCGAGUGGCGAACGGGUGAGUAACACGUGAGUAACCUGCCCUUUACUUUGGGAUAACUUCAGGAAACUGGGGCUAAUACCGGAUAGGAGCUCCUGCUGCAUGGUGGGGGUUGGAAAGUUUCGGCGGUUGGGGAUGGACUGGCGGCUUAUCAGCUUGUUGGUGGGGUAGUGGCUUACCAAGGCUUGGACGGGUAGCCGGCCUGAGAGGGUGACCGGCCACAAUGGGACUGAGAUACGGACCAGACGCCUACGGGAGGCAGCAGUGGGGAGUAUUGCACAAUGGGCGGGAGCCUGAUGCAACAACGCCGCGUGCGGGAUGACGGCCUUCGGGUUGUAAACCGCUGUCGCCUGUGACGAAGCGUGAGUGACGGUAAUGGGUAAAGAAGCACCGGCUAACUACGUG
This 468-nucleotide ribosomal RNA is filed under the name uncultured bacterium. RNAcentral describes it as "partial 16S ribosomal RNA". It matches the Rfam family "Bacterial small subunit ribosomal RNA", at positions 28 to 507 of the family's 1533-position model. The record is from RNAcentral.